UUAACUGGCAGACAUCUUACGAUGCGUUGACUGUGAAACUUAAAAAUAAUUUUGUUUAUAUAGAAAACCACGACCAUCGAUAUACACAAAUCAGAUAUUGCAAUACACUUACGUUGAGAAUGUGGUUGAAAGCAUCGAGCAAGACCAAUACGACCUGUUGAGAAAGUAGAACAUCGGAUGAUUAUAAUUAUAAAGGCGAAAACAACAGGUAGAAGACCAGCGUCAAUAACAGCCUUCGAUUGCAAAGAAGAGUACAUGAUCAAAUUCUUGGUACAAGGAAGGCAUGAAUAGCAGAAGGAUUUAUAUAAUGCUACAAAAAGGUAAGAGACAUGAUCUAACUCACCUGAAUUUGCCUUUCAUUACCCGCAGUGAUGUUCGAAAGUGCCCAAGCUGCUUCCUGGAAAUCAGUUGAAAUUUUGCAUUAAACUUAAAAUGAUACUCUCAUAGUUACAACAUAUGGUUGCAUCAGGUGAAAUGACUCAUAUAAAGCCAUUAUUUUAGACAGAGUACCUUAACUAAUGUGUUUUUCUUGUGUGUCAACAGUGCUUCAAAGUAAUCCAAUGCUUUAAGAUCCAAUACAUGCUAAUAUUUUCGAGAAAAAAAGUAAGUAUUAAUCUGUUAGAGUUGUAAUCAUAAUUCAACUUUUAUAAUUUCCAUGGUUUCCAA
Long non-coding RNA from Xenia sp. Carnegie-2017, 666 nucleotides. RefSeq lists it as uncharacterized. The transcript is spliced from 2 exons. The record is from RefSeq and is a predicted model, not a curated record. Lineage: Eukaryota; Metazoa; Cnidaria; Anthozoa; Malacalcyonacea; Xeniidae.